Non-coding RNA from Dermacentor albipictus, 2021 nucleotides. Lineage: Eukaryota; Metazoa; Arthropoda; Arachnida; Ixodida; Ixodidae. The record is from RefSeq and is a predicted model, not a curated record.
GCACGCAUGGUAUACCACACAUGCUUGUGAUUUGUAGCAUCUACUACAUCUACUACUUUGUGUGAUAGCGGCGACCGCUGUGGUUAGUGAAAGUUGCUUUGGUGCAUGGUGGAAGUGAAAAAAGUCAUGUUUCGGUGUUCAUGUCAUGUGGCGAAACGACUCCUAGUAUGAAUGUUUCCUUUCUUUUUUUGUGCGUUGUGGAAGCCUGCCACUGACUCUGCUGCCUGCUGGCUCAACGCUGCGUUCAGCUCGCACCCUGCCGCUCGUUUUCAAUUUGUUGCCGGAUCAUGUGGUGUGCCGUCACCGUGCAGUGCAGUGUCACGUACUCGCUGGUUGUGUGGAUGGCGUGUCGUGAUGGGUGUUGAAUUGUUGCAAGAUUUGCCAAAGCAGAGCUAGUAGUUCAUCCGACCUUUUCGCUGUUCUCCAUCUGUUUGCUCGUGUGUGCGUGAGUGUUUGUGUGUAUCCCAGUGAUGCCAGUGGGAGCUCCAGAGGCGAUAAAUGUGCUUCAACGGAAACUACAUGAAAAAAAGAAAAAGAAAAUGUGGGUGACCUACGACGCAAGGAAAGCAAGUGACGGCUACGGUGCAGUGACGUAUGUUCCCAGUGUCGUGCGCUGCGCGGCAUGAGCGCACAAGUUCGCAAGCUCUGUUAUGUUUCUGACAUCUUCCACAAGUAAUGUUCGAUGCAUGCGUUCCCCGUGAUCGUUUGACACGUGCCUGCAAUGCAGAGUGGCUUACCGCUUAGAGUUAGCUGCCUGUUUCUGAAGAGAGCUGGUGACCGUGCGUGAGCGCCUGCUUUUUGCACCCCUUUGCGAGUCCUAAAAACGCACGUGUUCUGAUGUAAACAAUAACACGGUACAUAACAACUGGGCUGGCCGCACUUGUUUCCCUCGUGUUCACUCGUGGAAGAAGGCGCGGUGCUGAUUCGUGUCGUCUCAACAUGAGGGAGAUUGUGGGCGUUAUUGAUUGGGCCUGGAGCCAGCUGCACGGGACCAGCCAGUGCUUCGUGGAAUUGAUCUUCAUUCGCUGCCAGUCUACCUCCCGUCGACUGAUCUGGAGGAACAGGACACCCUGUCUUCUGUGCCUGUCAUCAACGCUGCGAGUGCGAGGCUUUCGGAAACAGCAGGUCCACCUGCAUUGACACAGAGGCCUCGGCUGUCCCUGGGAACCGGUGCGGGGUCGCCACCGGGGGCCUUGCGGCACCAGUGUCGCUUCUGCCCAUACGCAACGCGGCACCGGGGCAGCCUGGUGCUGCACGAGCGGGUGCACACGGGCGAGCGGCCAUUUCGGUGCCACCUGUGCAGCCGUGGCUUCGCACACCGUUCGCACGUGGUGCGCCACUUGCGCACGCACACCGGCGAGCGACCCUUCCGGUGCCCGCUCUGCCCGGCCGCCUUUUCGCAGCGCAGCAACGUAAAGGUGCACCUGCGCUCGCACGGCCUGGACGUUGGCAGCAAUCGUCAGACGCAGCCAGCCGACACCAACGGCGCCGCGCACCAGGCACCCACACUACACCUCUGACUGCAGGAAGCACUGACACCGCAGUCUCCAAUUGAGCAUCCAGGUCCAUUUUUGUUGGUCAUCUGCAAUUGGCAGAGCACGUGUUGCUGACUGCAGAAUACUGCUAAUGGAAAAGCACAAAGAGUCCUGCUAAACUUAAUGGAGAGGAAACGAUGCUGCGAUUGUUCAGCUACCGUGGGAAUGAUGGACAGUAAAUUCAAACUUCACUAUAAAGUCCAUGGAUAUAACGAAGUAUCAUAUAUGCCAAAUAAACAUGGAUAUAACAAAUUUUUGCGUGUAACAAAAUAAAUAAUGUUUCAUGUUGAUAUCAACACCUAACGUGUAUGCUCACAGCAAAUAUUAGAUAUAUAACGAAGGUAUUUUUGUGUCCAAUGCCACUUCUAUAUAAUGGUGUUCAACCUUACAUGCAGGGGUUUUCAAACCUUGUGGUCUUGGGGAAAACCACCAGCUUUCCCAGAAUGACAUGGAACCCCUCCCUUCUCCCUCUUUCCACCGAUGUGU